RNAcentral lists this ribosomal RNA (497 nucleotides) under uncultured bacterium. RNAcentral's name for it is "partial 16S ribosomal RNA". It matches the Rfam family "Bacterial small subunit ribosomal RNA", at positions 28 to 507 of the family's 1533-position model. The record is from RNAcentral.
GACGAACGCUGGCGGCGUGCCUAAUACAUGCAAGUUGAGCGCUGAAGGUUGGUACUUGUACCAACUGGAUGAGCAGCGAACGGGUGAGUAACGCGUGGGGAAUCUGCCUUUGAGCGGGGGACAACAUUUGGAAACGAAUGCUAAUACCGCAUAAAAACUUUAAACACAAGUUUUAAGUUUGAAAGAUGCAAUUGCAUCACUCAAAGAUGAUCCCGCGUUGUAUUAGCUAGUUGGUGAGGUAAAGGCUCACCAAGGCGAUGAUACAUAGCCGACCUGAGAGGGUGAUCGGCCACAUUGGGACUGAGACACGGCCCAAACUCCUACGGGAGGCAGCCGUAGGGGAUCUUCGGCCAUGGACGAAAGUCUGACCGAGCAACGCCGCGUGAGUGAAGAAGGUUUUCGGAUCGUAAAACUCUGUUGGUAGAGAAGAACGUUGGUGAGAGUGGAAAGCUCAUCAAGUGACGGUAACUACCCAGAAAGGGACGGCUAACUACGUG